Molecule: non-coding RNA, 72 nt
Organism: Phrynosoma platyrhinos (Desert horned lizard)
Lineage: Eukaryota; Metazoa; Chordata; Lepidosauria; Squamata; Phrynosomatidae
Source: the annotation of a GenBank genome assembly
AACCAGGUGGCCUAGUGGUUUGAGUGUUGGGCUAUGACUCUGGAGUCCAGGGUUUAAAUCCCAGCUCAGCCA